This 221-nucleotide ribosomal RNA is filed under the name uncultured Pelagophyceae. RNAcentral's name for it is "partial Bacterial large subunit ribosomal RNA". It matches the Rfam family "Bacterial large subunit ribosomal RNA", at positions 1104 to 1320 of the family's 2925-position model. Lineage: Eukaryota; Pelagophyceae. The record is from RNAcentral.
GCUUAGAAGCAGCCAUCAUUUAAAGAAAGCGUAACAGCUCACUGGUCUAAAUAAGGGGUCCCGCGCCGAAAAUGUACCGGGGCUCAAGCCAUACACCGAAACUGCGGGUGCAUCUUAUGAUGCGCGGUAGCGGAGCGUUCUGUAAGUCUGCGAAGGGAUACCUGUGAGGGGUCCUGGAGAUAUCAGAAGUGCGAAUGCUGACAUGAGUAACGAUAAAGCGG